AGAAACCAUGAAGUACAAGAACUAAGAAACUUUGAAUGGAACAGCAAGGGUAAAAGAAAAGGCAUCAAGCUGAAUUCCUGAGGUGACUGUUGGAAUUCUUGCAAGAACAAGUCGGUGUAAACAUAUAUCCAUGGAGUGCCAUCUUAUGUAAAAGGGACCCCUGGCAUUUUACAGCGUGUGGAAACUUUGUCAAUAGUUCUUAUCGUAGACACCUACUGUAAGAUGUUAUGCUAAUGCUAUAUUAACCUUCACUAUCUUCUUGGACAAGCAGU
Molecule: unclassified non-coding RNA, 272 nt
Filed under: Hevea brasiliensis (rubber tree)
Lineage: Eukaryota; Viridiplantae; Streptophyta; Magnoliopsida; Malpighiales; Euphorbiaceae
Source: RNAcentral